UGAGUUAUCACUUCGCUCUAUGGUUGCUGGUGCUGAGAAAUGCCUCGAUGACAUUUUCAUUGUUAAAAAUGGACUAUGGAAACAAGAUCAGUCAACAUGUGUGAGUGCACCUUCACCAAUCCCACAAAUGCCUCUGCUCUCACGAAUUUAUUACCCUUGGGAGAGCCUCAGCAAGACAGUACUUGAUGCAUUGGAAGCAGACAAUGUUCUCCUUCCCUCUCAACGACAGGAAGUGGCACACAUGGCAGCGUCAUGGCCCUGCAUAUCCAUUGAAGGCACCUGGUUGGUAUCAUUGAGAACGAAGGGAGCCAGCAGGCAUAAAAAAAUCAAGAGGGCUACAUACAUAAAUGCGUGAGGCAAUGAGGGCCGCAGAUGAAUAUAGC
Molecule: long non-coding RNA, 383 nt
Organism: Ornithodoros turicata
Lineage: Eukaryota; Metazoa; Arthropoda; Arachnida; Ixodida; Argasidae
Exons: 3
Source: RefSeq, a predicted model, not a curated record